Molecule: long non-coding RNA, 1289 nt
Organism: Etheostoma spectabile (orangethroat darter)
Lineage: Eukaryota; Metazoa; Chordata; Actinopteri; Perciformes; Percidae
Exons: 2
Source: RefSeq, a predicted model, not a curated record
UUUACAUAACAGUAAUCAUGUUUCCUUCCCUAUUGGACGUCAUUGUAGUGAUGUCAACAUUUCAUUUGGGAUUAACUGAAACAGCCAAAGCUUGAAGAAAAAGACCCAAGUUGUAAUUAUAUGGAACUCUCCGUUCAGCUAACCAUUAGCAUGCUAAUGAAGUUUGGUUAAUUUACUUGAUAAUAUUACUGAAAGUUGAAUUACUUCAUCAUUAUUUUAAUAUGCCAUCAGCACAUGGCAGCCAGAGUGGUUCUACAUAUUAGUUGGUGAGUGUGUGUUGGUUUUGCAGAGAGAAGACUCUGCCAGGUGGUUCUCCUCAGCUUUGGGCUGCUGUGCGUCAUACAAGCCAUUCUCAACGCUUCUCUACGCCUGACAUUAGACUCUACCCACUCGGACUGCAACACAACUCAUUUGCCUCGUCAAGACCAGGUGAAGAAUGUGCAAAAGGAUUGUGAAGGAGUGCUGCCACGUCAUUGCAACAGAUUACAAGAACGAUUCAACGCUUUGAUGGGAGACAAAAUCGUGCUGGAAAACAGAAUCAUUGCGCUCACCAACAGGAUCCAGGCCCUGGAGGAGGAGAGACGCCGUGUGAGGACUAAUCUGAGGACAGUUGAGGAUGGAUCAGGCUAAAUCUUCUCAAAUAAACCUUACCUCGUCAUUUCUUCCUCUCUAACCCUUCCUCUAUUUCUGUCAGUUUGGUCCCUGUGACGUCUCCUGCUAACAGCACAGCACUUCCUGUGUUUACUACAAAGAAACCAUUGUUGGUGCUGAGAACAUUACAAUGUUAAACAGCAAAUAUAAAUGUGUAACUCCAUUAUUUUGCAGUGUCUGUUCUUUUUUUUUUUUUUAUCAAAUUCUUUUUAUUUAAUGAUAAUCAAAUCGCUUUUUUUCAGCUUGUGGGCUUCGGGGAGCCUAACCGUGGGAAAAGGAAGAACUGUGGGCUAAUAUAUCAAUAUUAUUCAGAAAACAGCUGGAAUGAUGAAAGAUGUUCCAACUCAGUGUACUGGAUCUGUGAAAGAAAAGUCCGUCCAUAACUCUGCAUCCAAACCCACCAGAAAACAUAAGAAAUAAAUUGCUGUUUAUUUUUUGCUGUCUACAGAUUUACAUUUUCACAAAAGCAACCUGAAUGUGCUCAUGUAGACACAUCAUUUCCAAGUAAAAACAGCCUUUUAGGAUUUGCCAGCUCAGUGGGUGAUAAUCUGGAGCCUGGUGAUUUGCUCUGCAGUAAAGUGACCUGUUAACAUCUAGAAACUAAUGUCCAACCAGUUCACUGCUUUGGCUGAAAAGAA